This 322-nucleotide long non-coding RNA is filed under the name Sorghum bicolor (sorghum). RNAcentral's name for it is "long non-coding RNA (SBIC_LNC013019)". Lineage: Eukaryota; Viridiplantae; Streptophyta; Magnoliopsida; Poales; Poaceae. The record is from RNAcentral.
ACUGGUGGGGUUAUGGUAUGACCCCAGAGAUGAUGUUGAAGACUCCUGGGACAUCUCAAACGGCUGACGUGACAGGCAAGGCUCCUAUGGCAUCGGCACCUCUAAAUCUGCCGAUGAAUCAGAGUCCCCAGUACACUACUGAAAGGUCCUAAUAUGGCUAGAGGGGGGUGAAUAGCCUAUUUAAAAAUUCUACAAACUCACUAGAGCAAGAGGUUAGUAAAUAACAAAGCGAAGCUUUUUGCUCUAGCUCUAAUGGGGUGAAUGCAAGCCACCUAUCCAACAAUUCUAGUUGAUAUAAUCACUAGGCACACAAGAGCUAUGU